UUCGCCCUUAGAGUUUGAUCCUGGCUCAGGACGAACGCUGGCGGCGUGCCUAACACAUGCAAGUCGAACGGAGAUAUUUAUUUCGGUAGAUAUCUUAGUGGCGCACGGGUGAGUAACGCGUGAAUAACCUGACCCGAAGAGGGGGAUAACACCUGGAAACAAGUGCUAAUACCGCAUAAGACCACGGACCGGCAUCGGUCAGAGGUCAAAGGAGAAAUCCGCUUUGGGAGGGGUUCGCGUCCCAUUAGGUAGUUGGUGAGGUAACGGCCCACCAAGCCGACGAUGGGUAGCCGAGCUGAGAGGCUGAUCGGCCACACUGGAACUGAGACACGGUCCAGACUCCUACGGGAGGCAGCAGUGGGGAAUAUUGGGCAAUGGGCGCAAGCCUGACCCAGCAACGCCGCGUGAGGGAAGAAGGUUUUCGGAUUGUAAACCUCUGUCGCAGGGGACGAAGGAAGUGACGGUACCCUGUAAGAAAGCCCCGGCUAACUACGUGCCAGCAGCCGCGGUAAUACGUAGGGGGCGAGCGUUGUCCGGAAUUACUGGGCGUAAAGGGAGCGUAGGCGGUCGAUUAAGUUAGAUGUGAAACCCCCGGGCUUAACUUGGGGACUGCAUCUAAUACUGGUUGACUUAGAGUACAGGAGAGGGAAGCGGAAUUCCUAGUGUAGCGGUGAAAUGCGUAGAUAUUAGGAGGAACACCAGUGGCGAAGGCGGCUUUCUGGACUGACACUGACGCUGAGGCUCGAAAGCGUGGGGAGCAAACAGGAUUAGAUACCCUGGUAGUCCACGCUGUAAACGAUGAAUACUAGGUGUAGGGGGUAUCAACUCCCUCUGUGCCGCAGCAAACGCAAUAAGUAUUCCGCCUGGGGAGUACGGCCGCAAGGUUGAAACUCAAAGGAAUUGACGGGGGCCCGCACAAGCAGCGGAGCAUGUGGUUUAAUUCGACGCAACGCGAAGAACCUUACCAAGGCUUGACAUCUACUUAAAGUCAUGGAAACAUGAUGUCUCUUCGGAGGAAGUAAGACAGGUGGUGCAUGGUUGUCGUCAGCUCGUGUCGUGAGAUGUUGGGUUAAGUCCCGCAACGAGCGCAACCCUUAUCUUUAGUAGCCAGCGGUCCGGCCGGGCACUCUAGAGAGACUGCCAGGGAUAACCUGGAGGAAGGCGGGGAUGACGUCAAAUCAUCAUGCCCCUUAUGACUUGGGCUACACACGUGCUACAAUGGCGUAAACAAAGGGAAGCAAAGCUGUGAAGCCGAGCAAAUCUCAAAAAUAACGUCUCAGUUCGGACUGUAGUCUGCAACCCGACUACACGAAGCUGGAAUCGCUAGUAAUCGCAGAUCAGAAUGCUGCGGUGAAUACGUUCCCGGGUCUUGCACACACCGCCCGUCA
This 1388-nucleotide ribosomal RNA is filed under the name uncultured bacterium. RNAcentral describes it as "16S ribosomal RNA". It matches the Rfam family "Bacterial small subunit ribosomal RNA". The record is from RNAcentral.